This 380-nucleotide long non-coding RNA is filed under the name Panax ginseng (ginseng). RNAcentral describes it as "long non-coding RNA (PGIN_LNC006739)". Lineage: Eukaryota; Viridiplantae; Streptophyta; Magnoliopsida; Apiales; Araliaceae. The record is from RNAcentral.
GGCUGUUAAGCCCACCAACCAAUCUUUCUUUCUAUCUCAAAUUCUUGAUCACUGGUGCAAGUGGAGCAAAGGAAGUGGGGGAUGAACUCUUCUAUCUACCCUAGAAAUGGGUUGGAUCUAUUGAAUGAGAUCCUUCCGAAUGGGAUAAGAGAAUUCCUAAAAUUCCUGUAGUAUAGGCUUUCUUUCCAUUACUGGCUUCGGACUAGAAACUGAAGAUCUGGUCAAGUUUUCGAUUAACCUUCUAACUUGGACAGCUGGAAUGCUAACGGGAUAUGGGAAAAGCAUCCACCGACAUCCACAGAACCUCGCUAUACGAAUGGUGAUCCAACUCGAUCCACAUUCACUCUUUUCUAACUUAGAUUCAUCUUCCCCGCAUUUUG